Molecule: ribosomal RNA, 491 nt
Filed under: uncultured bacterium
Lineage: Bacteria
Description: partial 16S ribosomal RNA
Rfam family: Bacterial small subunit ribosomal RNA
Source: RNAcentral
GAUGAACGCUAGCUACAGGCUUAACACAUGCAAGUCGAGGGGAAACGACAUUGAAGCUUGCUUCGAUGGUCGUCGACCGGCGCCCGGGUGAGUAACGCGUAUCCAACCUGCCUCUGACCAAGGGAUAACCCGUCGAACGUCGGCCUAAUACCUUAUGCAGUCGUCGGAAGUCAUCUGAUGACGACGAAAGAUGUCAUCGGUGAGAGAUGGGGAUGCGUCUGAUUAGCUUGUUGGCGGGGUAACGGCCCACCAAGGCAACGAUCAGUAGGGGUUCUGAGAGGAAGGUCCCCAACAUGGGAACUGAGACACGGUCCAAACGACUACGGGAGGCAGCAGUGAGGAAUAGUGAUCAAUGGGCGAGAGCCUGAACCAGCCAAGUAGCGUGCAGGAUGACGGCCCUAUGGGUUGUAAACUGCUUUUAUGCGGGGAUAAAGUGAGGGACGUGUCCUUCAUUGCAGGUACCGGAUGAAUAAGGACCGGCUAAGUCCGUG